CGAGCACGCGCGUGUGGCAUAUCAAUAAGCGGAGGAAAAGAAACUAACAAGGAUUCCCUUAGUAACGGCGAGUGAAGCGGGAAGAGCUCAAAUUUGAAAUCUUCAAGGUUCUACCUUGACGAAUUGUAGUUUAUAGAAGUGUUUUCUGUUAGUGGAGUGGCAAAAGUUCUUUGGAAUAGGACAUCAUAGAGGGUGAGAAUCCCGUAUUUGGUCAUUCCUCCUAGCGUUGUGAUACACUUUCAACGAGUCGGAUUGUUUGGGAAUGCAGUCCAAAAUGGGUGGUAAAUUUCAUCUAAAGCUAAAUAUUGGCGAGAGACCGAUAGCGAACAAGUACCGUGAGGGAAAGAUGAAAAGAACUUUGAAAAGAGAGUUAAACAGUACGUGAAAUUGUCAAAAGGGAAGCGCUUGACACCAGUGUUGUUUUUCCGAAAAUCAAUUACGAAUGUUUUGUUUUUGAGGAGUUAUGACUUCAUCGGCUUGCUCCUUUCUUUACGAAACUUUCUUAAUGCACUUUUCGGUUAACAAGUCAACAUCAAUUUCUUUUGUUGUAAAAGGUUAUGAGGAAGGUGGCUUUACUUUCGGAGUAAAGUGUUUAUAGCCUUGUGACUCUACAAUCGGAGAGAUUGAGGUCUGCAGCGUAGAUCCUUCGGGGUUAGAUACAUUUGUGCUAAGUUAUAGCUUUUCAUAGACAACUUGUUGACUAUGUUAGUCUUGUAGAUUACUCGCAUAUGCUAUUUUACCUACGCUUAGGAUGUUGAGCGCAUGUCUCUCUCU
RNAcentral lists this ribosomal RNA (774 nucleotides) under uncultured Neocallimastigales. Its description in RNAcentral is "partial large subunit ribosomal RNA". It matches the Rfam family "Eukaryotic large subunit ribosomal RNA", at positions 19 to 642 of the family's 3401-position model. Lineage: Eukaryota; Fungi; Neocallimastigomycota; Neocallimastigomycetes; Neocallimastigales. The record is from RNAcentral.